GCAUCGGUGGUUUAGUGGUAAAAUUAGCCGUUGCCAUGUGCAACUUCGGCUAGCCCCGGGUUCGAUUCCCGGCCGAUGCA
Molecule: transfer RNA, 80 nt
Filed under: Melanomma pulvis-pyrius CBS 109.77
Lineage: Eukaryota; Fungi; Ascomycota; Dothideomycetes; Pleosporales; Melanommataceae
Description: tRNA-Gly
Rfam family: tRNA
About the family: Transfer RNA (tRNA) molecules are approximately 80 nucleotides in length. Their secondary structure includes four short double-helical elements and three loops (D, anti-codon, and T loops).
Source: RNAcentral